UACGUAGGGGGCAAGCGUUGUCCGGAUUUAUUGGGCGUAAAGAGCGUGUAGGCGGCUAGAUAGGUCCGUUGUGAAAACUCGAGGCUCAACCUCGAGACGUCGAUGGAAACCAUCUGGCUAGAGUCCGGAAGAGGAGAGUGGAAUUCCUGGUGUAGCGGUGAAAUGCGCAGAUAUCAGGAAGAACACCGGUGGCGAAGGCGGCCUGCUGGGCAGUAGCUGACGCUGAUGCGCGACAGCGUGGGGAGCAAACAGG
This 253-nucleotide ribosomal RNA is filed under the name uncultured bacterium. RNAcentral's name for it is "partial 16S ribosomal RNA". It matches the Rfam family "Bacterial small subunit ribosomal RNA", at positions 524 to 776 of the family's 1533-position model. The record is from RNAcentral.